UAAUACGGAGGGCGCAAGCGUUGUUCGGAAUUACUGGGCGUAAAGCGCGUGUAGGCGGCCAAGUAAGUCGGAUGUGAAAGCCCGGGGCCCAACCCCGGAACUGCACCCGAUACUGCUUGGCUGGAGUCCCGGAGAGGAUGGCGGAAUUUCCGGUGUAGAGGUGAAAUUCGUAGAUAUCGGAAGGAACACCAGUGGCGAAGGCGGCCAUCUGGACGGUGACUGACGCUGAGACGCGAAAGCGUGGGGAGCAAACAGGAUUAGAUACCCUGGUAGUCCACGCCGUAAACGUUGGGUGCUAGACGUCGGGGGUAUUGACCCCUCCGGUGUCGAAGCUAACGCAUUAAGCACCCCGCCUGGGGAGUACGGCCGCAAGGCUA
RNAcentral lists this ribosomal RNA (377 nucleotides) under uncultured bacterium. RNAcentral's name for it is "bacterial SSU rRNA". It matches the Rfam family "Bacterial small subunit ribosomal RNA", at positions 521 to 896 of the family's 1533-position model. The record is from RNAcentral.